RNAcentral lists this long non-coding RNA (566 nucleotides) under Vitis vinifera (wine grape). RNAcentral's name for it is "long non-coding RNA (VVIN_LNC007473)". The record is from RNAcentral. Lineage: Eukaryota; Viridiplantae; Streptophyta; Magnoliopsida; Vitales; Vitaceae.
UCCAAGAUCAGUAAAACAACAUAUAAUUUCUUAUAAUCACAUCCAAACAACAAAUAAAAACCAAAAAAAUUCCCAAAAAAUGAGACGGAACAUAAUAUUAAUGAAAAGAAAUAAGAUUCAUGGCAACCAUACUUGGAAAAGCUUCAAGACAACCUCUCUCCAACUUUUCUUUCUUUCUCCAACUCUACUCCCUAUCUUCCUUAUAGCUAGCUCACCCCCCUCUUGCUUCCCCAAAAAAAUCAGUAGACUCUCACUCCUCCCAGCUCAUCCAAGGACCCACUCUCUAGAUUUUUUCUUCCAAAAAAUCUUCACCCCACUCGAUUUUUCUUCUCCCAUAAGUCUUCACCAACUCCCCUACUCCUGGUUCAGGAAAUAUCACCAUCUUCAACCACCACCUUGACAAGGUGGUGAUGUCCCCUAGCCACACGUCCAUGCAGCUUGGCUCAUCCGAAAACCAUAGAAGUCGUCCCCUACUCUAAAACAUGCUGCCGGCAAAGUGCCCCAAAAAUGAUAAUAAAAAAAAAACUAGAGCAAAAAAAUGAGGGUCUACAAUAUCACAUCACAAC